Molecule: long non-coding RNA, 264 nt
Organism: Dreissena polymorpha
Lineage: Eukaryota; Metazoa; Mollusca; Bivalvia; Myida; Dreissenidae
Exons: 3
Source: RefSeq, a predicted model, not a curated record
GGUGCCUAUACCACGUGACUUUUUAAGAUCUGUGUGGGGAGUAAAAUAUCAACAAAAGCGCGACGAAGGUAUGGCUCAAUGCUCCGAAUGCGGAAAAAUGUCGAAGACCAGAGCUGGAUUAUUGCGCCACAUUAGGGGACACGCUAACUCUGGAAACUAUAACUGCUGUGGGAAAGCAUUUCAGGAUGCCUACAAUCUUAGAAGGCUUCAACGAACAAAGGACCCCAAUGUCACGUGUGUUUACAGUGCGACAGGAGCUUUGCG